AGCGAACGCUGGCGGCAGGCCUAACACAUGCAAGUCGAACGGAACCUUCGGGAUUAGUGGCGGACGGGUGAGUAACACGUGGGAACGUGCCCUUUGGUUCGGAACAACUCAGGGAAACUUUAGCUAAUACCGGAUGUGCCCUUCGGGGGAAAGAUUUAUCGCCAUUGGAGCGGCCCGCGUCUGAUUAGCUAGUUGGUGAGGUAAAGGCCCACCAAGGCGACGAUCAGUAGCUGGUCUGAGAGGAUGAUCAGCCACAUUGGGACUGAGACACGGCCCAAACUCCUACGGGAGGCAGCAGUGGGGAAUCUUGCGCAAUGGGCGAAAGCCUGACGCAGCCAUGCCGCGUGAAUGAUGAAGGUCUUAGGAUUGUAAAAUUCUUUCACCGGGGACGAUAAUGACGGUACCCGGAGAAGAAGCCCCGGCUAACUUCGUGCCAGCAGCCGCCGUAA
This 449-nucleotide ribosomal RNA is filed under the name uncultured bacterium. Its description in RNAcentral is "partial 16S ribosomal RNA". It matches the Rfam family "Bacterial small subunit ribosomal RNA", at positions 29 to 523 of the family's 1533-position model. The record is from RNAcentral.